CGCAUCUGUGCAUGCAGCAUAUCAAUAAGCGGAGGAAAAGAAACUAACAAGGAUUCCCUUAGUAACGGCGAGUGAAGCGGGAAGAGCUCAAAUUUGAAAUCUUCAAGGUUUUACCUUGACGAAUUGUAGUUUAAAGAAGUGUUUUCUGUUGAAGUUUUGGUAAAAGUUCUUUGGAAUAGGACAUCAUAGAGGGUGAGAAUCCCGUAUUUGACCAUUAUUUUCAGCUGUGUGAUACACUUUCAAAGAGUCGGAUUGUUUGGGAAUGCAGUCCAAAAUGGGUGGUAAAUUUCAUCUAAAGCUAAAUAUUGGCGAGAGACCGAUAGCGAACAAGUACCGUGAGGGAAAGAUGAAAAGAACUUUGAAAAGAGAGUUAAACAGUACGUGAAAUUGUCAAAAGGGAAGCGUUUGACACCAGUGUUGUUUUCUCGAAAAUCAAUUAAAAAGAGUUUGAUUUUGUUGUGUAUUGACCUUAACAGCUUGCAUUUCAAUUUUCUUGCUUUUUUUAAUGCACUUUUCGUUUAACAAGUCAACAUCAGUUUCUUUUGUUGUAAAAGGGUCAUUGGAAGGUGGCUUUCUCUUCGGAGAAAGUGUUUAUAGCCUUUGAUCUCUGCAAUCGGAGAGACUGAGGUCUGCAGCGUAGAUCCUUCGGGGUUAGAUACAUUUGUGCUAAGCUACUAGCUUUUCAUAGACAACUUGUUGACUAUGAUUAGUCUUGUAGCUUACUCGCUUAUGCUAUUUUACCUACGCUUAGGAUGUUGACGCGCGUGUGUGCGUG
This 775-nucleotide ribosomal RNA is filed under the name uncultured Neocallimastigales. Its description in RNAcentral is "partial large subunit ribosomal RNA". It matches the Rfam family "Eukaryotic large subunit ribosomal RNA", at positions 26 to 639 of the family's 3401-position model. The record is from RNAcentral. Lineage: Eukaryota; Fungi; Neocallimastigomycota; Neocallimastigomycetes; Neocallimastigales.